GGCGUAAGUGCUGCUGCAGGGGGGCUCGGCACCAGGGAAACCUGCUGGGAGCUGGGAGAUCCCAAAUCCCAGAAAUCCCCACUGAGGUGGGGCCGGGAAAUCCCUGAGUGAGGUGGGAAAUGGGAAAUCCCUGAGUGAGGUGGGAAAUGGGAAAUCCCAGAAAUCCCUGACUGAGGUGGGAGAUGGGAAAUCCCAGAAAUCCCUGAGUGAGGUGGGAAAUGGGAAAUCCCUGAGUGAGGUGGGAACUGGGAAAUCCCGGAAAUCCCUGAGUGAGGUGGGGACUGGGAAAUCCCAGGGCUGGGGUGGCUCAGCCGUGCCCCGGGCCCGGGGCAGAGCUCGGGGCGGCCCGGGGCAGAGCUCGGGGCAGAGCUCGGGGCGGGCCGGGGCAGAGCUCGGGGCCGGUCGGGGCAGAGCUCGGGGCGGGCCGGGGCAGAGCUCGGGGCGGGCCGGGGCAGAGCUCGGGGCAGAGCUCGGGGCGGGCCGCGGCUGCCCCGGGCCCUCCUCACGGCCCCGGCCCCGCAGGGACCAGGCGGAGGCGCGGCGCUCCAAGACCAAGGAGGCGCGGAAGCGCCGGGAGGAGCGGCUGCAGGCCAAGAAGGAGGAGAUCAUCAAAACCCUCUCCAAGGAGGAGGAGGCCAAGAAGUGACCGCGGGCUGUCCCCUCCCUCCAAUAAAGCAUCCCGGACAAUUCCCCGGUGUUGUGUC
This 704-nucleotide long non-coding RNA is filed under the name Chloebia gouldiae (Gouldian finch). Its description in RNAcentral is "Erythrura gouldiae (Gouldian finch) lncRNA (ENSEGOG00005016981.1)". The record is from RNAcentral. Lineage: Eukaryota; Metazoa; Chordata; Aves; Passeriformes; Passeridae.